UAGGGAAUAUUAGAAAUGGACGAAAGUCUGAUCUAGCAACACCGCGUGUGCGAAGAAGGCCUUCGGGUUGUAAAGCACUUUUUGGAAGGAUUAGGAAGGAAUGUACUUCCAGAAUAAGUCUCGGCUAACUACGUGCCAGCAGCCGCGGUAACACGUAGGAGGCAAACGUUAUCCGGAUUUACUGGGCGUAAAGCGCGUGUAGGUGGUUCUGUAAGUAGGGCGUGAAAGCUCCUGGCUCAACUGGGAGAGGCCGUUCUAAACUACAGAACUAGAGGAUGGUAGAGGGAGGUGGAAUUCCAGGUGUAGCGGUGGAAUGCGCAGAUAUCUGGAGGAACACCAGUGGCGAAGGCGCCCAUCUGGACGGUAACUGACGCUGAGACGCGAAAGCGUGGGGAGCAAACA
RNAcentral lists this ribosomal RNA (402 nucleotides) under uncultured prokaryote. Its description in RNAcentral is "bacterial SSU rRNA". It matches the Rfam family "Bacterial small subunit ribosomal RNA", at positions 355 to 774 of the family's 1533-position model. The record is from RNAcentral.